Molecule: ribosomal RNA, 485 nt
Filed under: uncultured bacterium
Lineage: Bacteria
Description: bacterial SSU rRNA
Rfam family: Bacterial small subunit ribosomal RNA
Source: RNAcentral
GGUCAGAACGAACGCUGGUGGCGUGUCUUAUACAUGCAAGUCGAGCGAGGCAGCAAUGCCGAGCGGCGAACGGGUGAGUAACGCGUAAGCAAUCUGCCCCAUAUCAGGAAAUACCCGUGCCAACGCGCGGUUAAUGUCCAGGAGAGUGGCCCUCUGCAUGGAGGGUUGACUAGAGAUUUAUCGGUAUGGGAUGAGCUUGCGUCCGAUUAGCUAGUUGGCGGGGCAACGGCCCACCAAGGCGACGAUCGGUAGCCGGCCUGAGAGGGUGAUCGGCCACAUUGGGACUGAGAUACGGCCCAGACUCCUACGGGAGGCAGCAGUAGGGAAUAUUGCACAAUGGGGGAAACCCUGAUGCAGCAACGCCACGUGUGGGAAGAAGCAUUUCGGUGUGUAAACCACUGUCAUGAGGGAAUAAGGCCCUUAUUCGUAAGGGACUUGAAUGUACCUUGAGAGGAAGCACCGGCAAACUUCGUGCCAGCCGCCGC